UUAAAAGUUCACAAGAAAAAAUGUUGUUUUUAUUUGUUUUUUUGGGACAGAUUUCUUUUAUAAAGCUGAAUGAUUAUAUUUAAGUUAAAGGGAACAUCUCUACUGUUUUGUGAAAUAAUAGAUUUUAUUCAUCUAAAAAAUUCUAAACUGGGAUUUCAUUUAUUUAGCAGAUUUUUGAAUCCAUAUGUAUUUUAGUCAUGUAAUUUUUUUCAUAUGCUAUAAGGAUUUUAGCAGUCGCUCAUUGUUUCAAGAAUCAAUAUUUUUUAGUGCUGGGGAUGGGGAUUUUCAAUAGACUUUAAAAGGGUUUAGUAUUUUACACUAUUAAAUUAUAUUUAAGGAGUAGAGACCCCCUUUUGCAGGCUAGUAUGAAGUGAAAAGUCAUCUUUUAUAUCAUUCCAUGUUCGCCCUUCAGUCAUGUCUUGUUUUUGGUAGUUUCGUUGUUCAUAGGUGAAAUGCAUUAUCUGGGAACUUACAUUAUCAGCUGGAGGAAGAAAAUACGGUGAAAUGCAUUAUCUGGGAACUUACAUUAUCAGCUGGAGGAAGAAAAUACGUCUUCAACAUUUAAUGGAUUCCUAAAAAUGUUUUCUUGUUUGCCUAAUGUGUCACUGACUAUCAAUGAUUGACAUCGACCAGUAUAAAAAUAAAAAUGUUAUUUCCGAAAUUAAAUGGUAAGUUCCCAGAUAGUCAUUGAUUGUUUUCUGCAUACUGUUUUCAUUUUGCCCAAUCUUUCAAGAUUUAUUUUUUAUAAUUUUAUCAAUAUAUGUUGUGAUUUAUGAAAAUAACAGAGAGAAAAAUCAAUUUUGUAAAUGGCAGUUUUUUAAGUGAAAAAUUUGUACUCAAAUGGAUUUUUUUUGCAUAUUUUGUUCAUUAACGCAUUAUCUGUGUUGGCAGUGAGAGUAGAAAGGAGCUUGUACCAAUUUUAGACAAGAAUUUCUUGAGGGAUGAAACAUUGAAACUUUAAAAUUACAGUCAAACCUUAUGUGAAGCCUCAUAAAAUUUUAUGUUUAACAUUGAUGUUUUUAUCAUAAGUUAAAAUGUUUGGCUUUAAACAAAAUUAUUUUUAUCAAUCAUAAGAACAUGAAAUAAGAUUUGACUUUAAUUUUACACACAAAUAUAUAGUGGUAGAUAUCUGUAGGCUUAGUAAGUUUUUUUUAUAAUCAGUCGCCAUACAUCCUAGCUUUUGUUUCGGUAGUAGGUCUUUAUGUAGGAUAGUUGUAGGUGAUUUAGAUGAGCCAUCUUCUACAGGCGCUGUGAAUCGCUGGGAUUUCAUAGUAACAUGUAGAUAACUUGUACUUUCAUAGCUAAGCAGGAAUUAUACACAAGUCUCUAAAUCCUAUUAAACAUUUAGUAAGGUUUGACUUUUGUUUUCUUCUCAAAAUUUUGAUAUUUACUAUGAUUUUUGGGGGAGGGGGGAUGAAAAGGGGACAUACU
RNAcentral lists this long non-coding RNA (1431 nucleotides) under Mytilus galloprovincialis (Mediterranean mussel). The record is from RNAcentral. Lineage: Eukaryota; Metazoa; Mollusca; Bivalvia; Mytilida; Mytilidae.